AGUGAACGCUGGCGGUAGGCCUAACACAUGCAAGUCGAACGGCAGCACAGUAAGAGCUUGCUCUUACGGGUGGCGAGUGGCGGACGGGUGAGGUAUACAUCGGAAUCUACUUUUUCGUGGGGGAUAACGUAGGGAAACUUACGCUAAUACCGCAUACGACCUACGGGUGAAAGCAGGGGAUCUUCGGACCUUGCGCGAUUGAAUGAGCCGAUGUCGGAUUAGCUAGUUGGCGGGGUAAAGGCCCACCAAGGCGACGAUCCGUAGCUGGUCUGAGAGGAUGAUCAGCCACACUGGAACUGAGACACGGUCCAGAGUCCUAAGGGAGGCAGCAGUGGGGAAUAUUGGACAAUGGGCGCAAGCCUGAUCCAGCCAUACCGCGUGGGUGAAGAAGGCCUUCGGGUUGUAAAGCCCUUUUGUUGGGAAAGAAAAGCAGCAGGUUAAUACCCCGCUGUUCUGACGGUACCCAAAGAAUAAGCACCGGCUAACUUCGUG
This 492-nucleotide ribosomal RNA is filed under the name uncultured bacterium. RNAcentral's name for it is "partial 16S ribosomal RNA". It matches the Rfam family "Bacterial small subunit ribosomal RNA", at positions 29 to 507 of the family's 1533-position model. The record is from RNAcentral.